Molecule: long non-coding RNA, 2159 nt
Organism: Varanus komodoensis (Komodo dragon)
Lineage: Eukaryota; Metazoa; Chordata; Lepidosauria; Squamata; Varanidae
Exons: 2
Source: RefSeq, a predicted model, not a curated record
CCUCUGGAAGCGGGGGGCGGCUGGCGAGCGAAUGCCAACGUGGGUCUGAACGUCACAGCAAAGCUUUCCCUGUCUGGGCUAGUUAAACAUGACACCCGUCCCCAUCGGUGAACGUUCCCGGGUCUUAGCGAGGGCUACAAAGAAGGAGAAUCCCUUUUCAACAAACUGCCUCGAGCUUGUACCACUCUGUUAUAUAUCCUGGAGCUGACAGCAAUGAAACAACAUAGAAGAUGGCUUAAGUACAUAUGGAGGAAAACCCCUUGUGGAUGCAAUAAAACUCUGGUGUGUGCCAACAGUAUGGUAUAUUUAGAGGCAGUGAAACAGCAAAGGAACAACUCAUUGCCACUAAUCAAUCUUCCUUUGGCUGCCCAGGGGUGCAUUUUACAGUUGUCUGUGGUCUAUUGCACACUGGCCCUGAGGAUAUCUUGGACAAUUCUGAGACCUGCUGUAAUAUAUUUCCUGGGCAAUUUCAGGAAAAGAAAUUUCUUUCAUCCAUUGGGACUUAGACCCCAAAGUUAAUGCAAUUGAAUCUAUUGAGAUACCCAGAAAACAGCCUGGUGGUUUUACUGGAUCAGUGUCAAUUGGUUCAGCUCAAAAAUGUUGACAAGAUUGGCCAGGUUCAUGCAACCAUUUCUGUAUUGGAUCCUUGCCUUAAAGGGGUUAUAAGACAGCAAGGAAUGAACAAGUAGCUCAGCCAGGGAGGUUCUUAAUGCUUCCUUGUGAGAGGGAGUGGUCCUGUGUUGUCUGAAAGUGGCAGUAGAAAGCCCAUUUCCAAAAAUAAAUAAAUGAAAAUAAAAAAAAAAAAUCUUCCUUCAUCUAUGCUGGGAGAGACACAAGGGGCACAUGACCCUGUUGAUACUCCUCAACCUCUCAGUAGCUUUCAAUACCACUGACCAUGGUAUCCUUCUGGGGCAACUGCCUGAGUUCAGAGUGAAGGCUUAGGUUGGUUCUGCACUUACAUGGAGAGCUGUCUCCAAGUAACAGAGCUAGGGGUAUACUGUUCAGCUCCAUGGAUUCUCCAGCAUGGAGUUCCUCAGCAGCCUAUUCAGACUGCCGUACUAUUUAACAUCUACAUGAAAAUGCUGAGUGGGGCCAUCCGGAGCUUUGGCAUCCAUUACCAUCAGUGUGCUGGUAACACACAGCUCUAUUUCUCCUUUUCAUAAUCACCAGGUGACACCAUGGGUGUACUAAAACAGGGUCUGGCUGCAACAGUGAAACAGAUGAGGGGCAACAAACUGAAGCCCAAUCCAGACAAGACUGAGAUGCUGUUGGUGGCUGGUUCCUCUGACCAGAUGGGGGGAAAUCAACCUCUUCUAGAUGGGUUUGCAUUUCCCUUGGGAGGAGCAAGUAUGUAGCUUUGAACUUUCCUUGAACCAUCUUUGUCACUUGAGGGUCAAGUGGCCUCAGUGGCUUGGAGUGCCUCCUAAAAGCUCCGGCUUGUGGCCCAGGUCCCUUAUCUGGACAGGGAUACCCUGUUUUCAGUAAUUCAUACUCUGGUAAUCUCUAGACUACAGCAAUGCUCUCUACCUGAGGCUGCCCUUGAAGAUUGUUCAGAAACUUUAUCUUGUGCAGAAUGCAGCAGCCAGACUAACAACUGGGACCCACAGAUGUGAACUAGUUCUGGGCCACUUGCAUUGGCUGCCUUUAUGCUUCUGUGCUCAGUUCACAAUGCAGGUACAAAUUUAUAAAACCUUACAUGGCUGGGGAGCAAAAUACUUGAUACAGAGCUUCUCCCGACCACCAUUUGUCCAGACACUCCACUCCACAUCUGGGCCUUCCUCUGAGGGCCAAGAGAAGCUUGGGAAGAGGAAACAGUGACAGGAAGGGCUCUCCCCACUGCAGCCUGCCUGGCACAAACCUUGUCAUCAUUUGGCACCAAGUUAAGACAGCCCUUUAUGCCAAGUCUUUAAAAAAUAUACUUGAUUAUCUGGGGCUUAACCAUGACAAUCAAGAUAUACUUGGUUAUUGCACAUGUUUUUCUUUUACAGUGCCAUUCUUUACUGUAUGUAUUUAAUUAAUUUGCAAAUUGAAUUAAAAUGUUUGAGUAGAUUGGGUUAUUUUCAUUGUAUUGUUUUUAUGUACUAUUGUAAAUUGCUUAUAGGGCUUUGGCUACUGGGCGGUAUAGAAAUAAAAGAAAUAAUAAAAAGAAUAGAACACAA